AAAUUGGAGAGUUUGAUCAUGGCUCAGAUUGAACGCUGGCGGCAGGCCUAACACAUGCAAGUCGAACGGUAACAGGAAGAAGCUUGCUUCUU
This 92-nucleotide ribosomal RNA is filed under the name Escherichia coli. RNAcentral's name for it is "partial 16S ribosomal RNA". It matches the Rfam family "Bacterial small subunit ribosomal RNA", at positions 1 to 88 of the family's 1533-position model. Lineage: Bacteria; Pseudomonadati; Pseudomonadota; Gammaproteobacteria; Enterobacterales; Enterobacteriaceae. The record is from RNAcentral.